RNAcentral lists this ribosomal RNA (472 nucleotides) under uncultured bacterium. Its description in RNAcentral is "bacterial SSU rRNA". It matches the Rfam family "Bacterial small subunit ribosomal RNA", at positions 335 to 799 of the family's 1533-position model. The record is from RNAcentral.
ACUCCUACGGGAGGCAGCAGUGGGAAUAUUGGACAAUGGGGGAACCCGUAGAUCCAGCCAUGCCGCGUGUGUGAAGAAGGCCUUCGGGUUGUAAAGCACUUUCAGUGGGGAGGAAAGGUUGAUGGUUAAUACCUAUCAGCUGUGACGUUACCCACAGAAGAAGCACCGGCUAACUCCGUGCCAGCAGCCGCGGUAAUACGGAGGGUGCGAGCGUUAUCCGGAUUUAUUGGGUUUAAAGGGUCCGUAGGCGGGUUAAUAAGUCAGUGGUGAAAUCCCAUCGCUUAACGAUGGAACUGCCAUUGAUACUGUUAGUCUUGAAUGAGGGUGCAGUGGUUGGAAUGUGUAGUGUAGCGGUGAAAUGCAUAGAUAUUACACAGAACACCGAUUGCGAAGGCAGAUCACUAACCCUAAAUUGACGCUGAGGGACGAAAGCGUGGGGGAGCGAACAGGAUUAGAUACCCUGUAGGCACUG